Molecule: ribosomal RNA, 329 nt
Filed under: Ebriida sp.
Lineage: Eukaryota; Cercozoa; Thecofilosea
Description: SSU rRNA
Rfam family: Eukaryotic small subunit ribosomal RNA (bases 117-329)
Source: RNAcentral
GAUUUCUGGCUUGACGCACCUGGCCCGCUUCUUUUAUGAUGUUGAGUGCCGGUUGUGUGUCUGCCAUCCUUCUGGAAAAUAGUCUUGGGUCCUUCAUUGGCACCUGGGAUUGUGAUCUAGAUCUAUUACUUUGAAAAAAUUAGAGUGUUUAAAGCAGACGCAUUUGUCUUGAAUACAUUAGCAUGGAAUAAUAAUUUAGGACUUCGGUUCUAUUUUGUUGGUUUCUAGGACUGAAGUAAUGAUUGAUAGGGAUAGUUGGGGGUGCUAGUAUUCAGCGGCCAGAGGUGAAAUUCUCGGAUUCGCUGAAGACUAACUUAUGCGAAAGCAUU